This is a non-coding RNA of Pelobates cultripes (western spadefoot toad), 437 nucleotides long. The record is from the annotation of a GenBank genome assembly. NCBI's taxonomy places the organism in Eukaryota, Metazoa, Chordata, Amphibia, Anura, Pelobatidae.
UUGUAAACCGAAUUCUGCAGUGAAUUUGUUAAAUAUGGUAAGUGCACUUUUAGAAGCGAUAGCUGUGUUAGGUGAUAGUGCUUGGUGAGUGAGAGUCCUAGCUUGAUGCAUCAGUAUGCUCAGUCCAGGAUUAGUUCGUGAAACUGUGGUGUCCUGGAUGGCUGGUGGUGAGCCGUAGGGAGUGCCUGAGAGAAUACCUGGAAUUGAGAGCUUGAAAGAGCGUCAGCUGCAGUGUUGUGGAUACCCGGAAUGUGAAAACAAACUAAGUGAAACUGACCGGUUGCUGCUAGCCAGGUCAGCUUGCGAAUCAGCCGCAUGAUGGUCAGGGAUGAUGAACGCCCCUUGUUAAUGAUUUCGCAAGCUGCCGAGUUGUCAGAGUAGCAUUUUACUGCCUUGCCAGACCACCACAAUGGGAUAGAUUUCAAAUAGGGCUGAGG